Unclassified non-coding RNA from Chlorocebus sabaeus (green monkey), 101 nucleotides. Its record names the gene 7SK. It matches the Rfam family "7SK RNA". From Rfam's summary of the family: 7SK was discovered as an abundant small nuclear RNA in the mid-70s but a possible function has only recently been suggested. Two independent studies have found that 7SK RNA binds the CDK9/cyclin T complex (known as elongation factor P-TEFb). The record is from Ensembl. Lineage: Eukaryota; Metazoa; Chordata; Mammalia; Primates; Cercopithecidae.
CCGCUCCCGAGGCUGCAUACUCGGUCGAAAAGGAGGAGCAUCCCCCAUAGAGGAGGACAGGUCAAGGAUAUAGGAGUAGCUGCACGCCCCUGUUAACAAGC